Long non-coding RNA from Mus spicilegus (steppe mouse), 513 nucleotides. The record is from Ensembl. NCBI's taxonomy places the organism in Eukaryota, Metazoa, Chordata, Mammalia, Rodentia, Muridae.
GCUCACCUUGCCUUUGAGAGUGACCACUCAGGCAUGAGCUGUUUAAGACGAGAACAGGAGUGGGAAAUGGGGUGACGGGGACACCACAAUACUUCACAAACCUGUUAACUCAGUGGGACAACACAAAACAGAUCAUAAUGACAAAAGAAAGUCCAGGUCACAAGCUGACAGAGUCUGUGAUUAUCAGCUCUUCAUCCUCAAUGACCAAAAGCAGGAAAGCAAGACAGCAAGGACAGUGACUGUGCCCUCUGCGGCAGCUUGAAGGGUCUGGAUAAAUCUUUUUUUAAAUACCUGCCCUGUUCACUAACUUGGGAACUUCAGGACAUUGCAAUCAUGUCUCCCAAAUUGGAAUUCCACCUGCUGUGCCCAACAUGUGGUAUAAAACACACAUGGAUAAAUGUACUUUGUAUUUCAGUUAAAAAACCAUAAUUCACCAUAUGUAUGCUGAGGGCACAAACAGCCAACUCCUGGUAUCCAGUUAUCUAGAAUGAUGAUCUCACUGUUAGCCCUCUG